AGAACCUGAAACCGUGUGCUUACAAGUAGUCAGAGCCCGUUAAUGGGUGAUGGCGUGCCUUUUGUAGAAUGAACCGGCGAGUUACGAUUUGAUGCAAGGUUAAGCAGUAAAUGUGGAGCCGUAGCGAAAGCGAGUCUGAAUAGGGCGUUUAGUAUUUGGUCGUAGACCCGAAACCAGGUGAUCUACCCUUGGUCAGGUUGAAGUUCAGGUAACACUGAAUGGAGGACCGAACCGACUUACGUUGAAAAGUGAGCGGAUGAACUGAGGGUAGCGGAGAAAUUCCAAUCGAACCUGGAGAUAGCUGGUUCUCUCCGAAAUAGCUUUAGGGCUAGCCUCAAGUGAUGAUUAUUGGAGGUAGAGCACUGUUUGGACGAGGGGCCCCUCUCGGGUUACCGAAUUCAGACAAACUCCGAAUGCCAAUUAAUUUAACUUGGGAGUCAGAACA
This 445-nucleotide ribosomal RNA is filed under the name Staphylococcus aureus. Its description in RNAcentral is "partial 23S ribosomal RNA". It matches the Rfam family "Bacterial large subunit ribosomal RNA", at positions 545 to 991 of the family's 2925-position model. The record is from RNAcentral. Lineage: Bacteria; Bacillati; Bacillota; Bacilli; Caryophanales; Staphylococcaceae.